Long non-coding RNA from Chinchilla lanigera (long-tailed chinchilla), 1864 nucleotides. RefSeq lists it as uncharacterized. NCBI's taxonomy places the organism in Eukaryota, Metazoa, Chordata, Mammalia, Rodentia, Chinchillidae. The record is from RefSeq and is a predicted model, not a curated record. The transcript is spliced from 3 exons.
AAAUCUAGGCCUCUCCCCACACUCCAAACUGCAAAUUUCCUGGAUCACACCCACUUCAUCUUUAAAAAAAAAACUCUUUAGAAAACCAGUAAAUGAACUCCCCACAUACACAUCUGGCAGAUCUGCUCUCUGCCUGAUGUUUGCUGGGGACGGAGGAAGCCCGCGGGAGAAGGAAAAUGUGACGCUCCGUCCGUCUCUGCUUUUGUAAAUGAUGCCUUGAUGACCACACACUUCGGUCCAAGACAGCACUCAAAAAUAAUGCUUGCAUUUGGUUGUUUAAAAACUGGAAUAGCUGGAAUACACACGGAAUAGCUAGAAUGCUCAGUUAAGAAAGGAAACAACAGCAGUGAACGGGACAGGCUGGUGGACGGCGUUCAACCAACCAUAAACCAGCUGUGUGACCCUCGGCGAGUCACGCAUCAGCCUCCCAGCUGCUUCUGCAACUGUCCAGUAAACGGGGCCCGGCUUAUGUCGGUGGAAGGAAGGGCUUUACAAUCAGGGAUUCAACCAACCAUAGAUCAAAAAUAUUCACAAGAAUAAACUGCAUCUAUGUUGAAUAUGUACAAGCACUGGCCUUGUCACACAAGUCCUUGAAAAUAUAGUACAUGAGCUAUUUACACAGCAUUACCCUGUUGGGUGACGUAAGGAAGCCAGGGGUGAGUUUGUGUCUACAGAAGGGUGUGGACAGCUUCUGUGCAGCAAAUACCACGCCACUUUAUGUAAGCGCUUGAGCAUUAGGAGUUCUGUGUUCACAGAGAACCACGGAAGAGCACCCAGAGCUCAGAACACAACCUCCCCGCGUCUUCAAUCUCUCCACCCUCUGAGAUGAGGGAAUUACGAUUUGGAUAUUAUUUAAAGGCAACUUAUCAUGGAACAUGAAGACUUAGCUAUAUACUCCCAAGUAUCUUCCUAUGAAGCAGAUAUUUUGCUAAUCCCCUCGCUUGAGAGCCACCGUCAGCCCCUGGGCCUGAGGACAGCUGAAGCAGCGACGGCGCUUGAUGGCAGCUUCUGGAAUGGCCGGCCCCAGAAGUAAGUACACACACACACCACAGCUGCAUCCUCCCGAGAGGACCGAAAACCACCACGUCCAGCUCCAAAGAUGCUAGUCACAUUUUAACAUGACUUUCAAGAUUCUGCAGCAGCCAUUAAAUCACUGAGUUUUAAUGGACCAAACUUUACCAACAGGAACUUGGAAAACAGUUUAUAUGAAAUGGACAUCUCUCGUCUGUAACCCCAGCCCUCGGAGUGGCGGAAGUAGGAGGGUUGCAAGUGCGAGCCCAGACUGGGUGCCUCAGAAAGAUCCAUGACAAAAUAAAAAGUACGCAAAUAAAAACGGUUGGGAACAUCCACUUGAUGUAAAGGCACUGGGGUCAAUCCCCAGUACUACAAAAAGCAAAGCAAAACAAAAACAAAAACCUUCAAAACUACCCACCUGGAUACUCGUUCAGCAAACAACAUGAGAAAAAGGAAGGCUUUCAAAUGGCCAGAGGGAAGUAAAAGACAAAGUGUUACCGAUUUUAAAGAAGAAAGAACAAUUAUAAUUGGGUGAGGGAGAAGUAUUAGGAAAUACAUAGGGUAAAUAGCCUGAACUCAGCCAGAGCAGUCACUAGUCAGCAAUUUCUGGUGGCAGCUCUGGUAGGAGACACACAGACAGGCGUUUUCCUCCAGGAAUGGAACCUGCUCCUCUGUCCUGAGAAGUCAGGACGACGAGCUAGGUGGGGGGAGAACUGUGUGGGCUGGGAAGGCAUGGACAUGGGCAGCACAAACUGGGAGCUUCUGAAUCCAUAGAACCACUCCACGGGGUGGCUGGGACAUGGUACCCUCUUCCUCUAGCGCCACUCCGCUAGUAGUGUGUUUUCCAUUA